Molecule: ribosomal RNA, 225 nt
Filed under: uncultured Thorsellia sp.
Lineage: Bacteria; Pseudomonadati; Pseudomonadota; Gammaproteobacteria; Enterobacterales; Thorselliaceae
Description: partial 16S ribosomal RNA
Rfam family: Bacterial small subunit ribosomal RNA
Source: RNAcentral
CGUGUAGGCGGCUUUUUAAGUGUGAAGUGAAAGUCCUGCUUUCAAGGUGGGAAUUGCUUUGCAAACUGGAGAGCUUGAGUGCGGAAGAGGUAAGUGGAAUUCCCAGUGUAGCGGUGAAAUGCGUAGAGAUCUGGAGGAAUACCGAUUGCGAAGGCAGCCCCCUGGACAGUGACUGACGCUCAUAUGCGAAAGCGUGGGGAUCAAACAGGAUUAGAUACCCGUGUA